UUAAGUGUUUUUAUAUUCAAAUAAAUAUUCAUUAUCACAAUCAGUAUGGAAAAUAAAUAUGUUGUGAUGUUGGAAUGUGGGUCAGAAAAUUGUCACACAGUCCCAUUAAAAUCUGUUCAUCAUUUCGAUGAAAAAAACACGAACGAUUCAAAUCAUAUAAAUUUGAUGUAAAUGAUUCCGUCUUGUACGGAACUGUCAAUUUUAUUGCAAAUUCAUUAAAGGAAGUAGAGGAUAUUCUGAAAAAAAUAGAAGAGUAAGUAAACCAUGUGCGAAAUUUCUAAUUCCUCCAAUAGACACUAGCGACACCGAAAACGAUGUUCCUGAUCCUUCAAUAGCUAACAACAAUAUGAAAAAGAUCGAGAAAAGUCUACAAAAUAGACUCGACAAAAUAAAGAAAAUAAAGGAAGAAAAUGUAAAUAAAAUUACUAAAAAUAGUACAGAUUUACUUCCUGUGGAGAAAACAAAGAAUUCAAAUGAUCACGCUAAUCUCUCAAAAGUACCUCAAAGUAAAAAGUAUAAAGUCGA
Leptopilina heterotoma is the source of this 525-nucleotide long non-coding RNA. RefSeq lists it as uncharacterized. The record is from RefSeq and is a predicted model, not a curated record. Lineage: Eukaryota; Metazoa; Arthropoda; Insecta; Hymenoptera; Figitidae. The transcript has 3 exons.